Molecule: ribosomal RNA, 373 nt
Filed under: uncultured bacterium
Lineage: Bacteria
Description: bacterial SSU rRNA
Rfam family: Bacterial small subunit ribosomal RNA
Source: RNAcentral
GUAGGGCGCAAGCGUUGUCCGGAAUUAUUGGGCGUAAAGAGCUCGUAGGUGGCUGGUCGCGUCGGAUGUGAAAGCCCAUGGCUUAACUGUGGGUCUGCAUUCGAUACGGGCCGGCUUGAGGUAGGUAGGGGCAAGCGGAAUUCCUGGUGUAGCGGUGAAAUGCGCAGAUAUCAGGAGGAACACCGGUGGCGAAGGCGGCUUGCUGGGCCUUACCUGACGCUGAGGAGCGAAAGCGUGGGGAGCGAACAGGAUUAGAUACCCUGGUAGUCCACGCUGUAAACGUUGGGCGCUAGGUGUGGGGGUCUUCCACGAUCUCCGUGCCGGAGCUAACGCAUUAAGCGCCCCGCCUGGGGAGUACGGCCGCAAGGCUAAA